AGCUGCAAGAUUGGAACAACAGGCGGCAGUUUACAUCCCCCGAUGAUUUUCAUGCUGAUGGGGUGAAUGACAUUUUUAUCUCCCAGGUUGGGACUCCAAUUUGUAUUCCUUCUAGAGACUUCAUUGACAUUGGCCGCAUUGCCUCCAUUGAAAAUAACCACACGCCAGUUGAUUAUGCAAAGAAAGGGCCGAAAGGAGCUAUUAAGUUGCUAUAUUUCAUACUUGAAAGAAGUCUUACGGGAAUGUUUUUACUUGUUUAGGAGUCUUUGCAGUUUUUAUACUGUUUAUUCACCAAUGAUUUGCCUCAAGAUGAAUGAGCAGCCGGGAAAAUCUCUUGGAGUGAUUGGCCUUGGUGGACUUAGUCACAUGGCUGUUAAAUUUGGAAAGGCUUUUGGUUUGAAUACAGUGUUUAGCACCAGCAUAUUUAAGAGAGAUUAGGAAGAAAGGGUUUAAGGGAGUUGAGAAUGGGGAUAAUGCUGUUUUGGAUUGUUUUUCACAUGAACAAAUCACAAAACUUGCAUCACAUGGGGAUAAUGGACAUAAUGGCAUUUUCCCUCUGAAUCCUAAUUCAUCCAAUCUAUAUCAGAGGUUUCAUGAAAACAGCAUUGUCAAUUGUAUGCUAGAGUUGCAAAAUUUAAAAAACAAUCUUGUUCUAGGAUUAUGCAAGAAGCUUCAAGCUGCUGGAUGGCCUAUAGUUUUGCUAUCAAGGGGGAACGGAUCAGAUAGAAAUGUCACUGUUGAUAAUCUUGGCAAAGCCAGAUUCAGAAGUUGUUGGUCUUCCUUGAUGAUGAGGUUUCUGAAGAUAUUCUUGUCGAGAGAGUAGUAGGGCGGAGAUUAGAUCCUAUUACUGGAAAGAUAUAUCACUUGAAGUAUUCUCCUCCAGAGAUAGAAGAAAUUGCAGCACGGCUUUGCCACC
Molecule: long non-coding RNA, 916 nt
Organism: Arachis duranensis
Lineage: Eukaryota; Viridiplantae; Streptophyta; Magnoliopsida; Fabales; Fabaceae
Exons: 5
Source: RefSeq, a predicted model, not a curated record